UAUAAGCAUCAGUAUUUAACUAACCAGUUUGCUGUGAAAUUUCACAUGGUCGAAUUAUACAAGACACAAAGACUUCAAGUCGUUCCAUAAAUGCAUCAGCUCCUUUCGAAAAGUAUUGGAGUUUAGUGGGAAUUUCUUCAGCAUUGGGCAUUUUACAAUUGAUAUUUUCUUCAGCCGUGGGAAAGGCAGAGCAUGGUAGUAUAUUGUAUUCAUUUAAGUGGUUUUAUAUUUUAUUUAAUUAAAAAUUUUGUUUCUAAAAUUUUAAAGCUAAUAUAUCAUUUAAUAUUCG
Molecule: long non-coding RNA, 289 nt
Organism: Gossypium arboreum
Lineage: Eukaryota; Viridiplantae; Streptophyta; Magnoliopsida; Malvales; Malvaceae
Exons: 3
Source: RefSeq, a predicted model, not a curated record